This 416-nucleotide ribosomal RNA is filed under the name uncultured bacterium. Its description in RNAcentral is "bacterial SSU rRNA". It matches the Rfam family "Bacterial small subunit ribosomal RNA", at positions 355 to 775 of the family's 1533-position model. The record is from RNAcentral.
UGGGGAAUAUUGCGCAAUGGGCGAAAGCCUGACGCAGCGACGCCGCGUGGGGGAUGAAACUUCUCGGAGUGUAAACCCCUUUCGACCCGGACGAAACUCCCGCAAGGGAUUGACGGUACGGGUAUAAGAAGCCCCGGCUAACUACGUGCCAGCAGCCGCGGUAAGACGUAGGGGGCCAGCGUUGCUCGGAAUUACUGGGCGUAAAGGGUUCGUAGGCGGUGCGGCAAGUCGGUAGUGAAAUCUCCAGGCUUAACUUGGAGGCUGCUGCCGAAACUGCUGUGCUAGAGUGCGGGAGAGGCGAGUGGAAUUACAGGUGUAGCGGUGAAAUGCGUAGAUAUCUGUAGGAACACCCGUGGCGAAGGCGGCUCGCUGGACCGCAACUGACGCUGAGGAACGAAAGCUAGGGGAGCAAACAG